AAUCGGGCGGUAAAUUCCGUCCAAGGCUAAAUACGGGCGAGAGACCGAUAGCGAACAAGUACCGCGAGGGAAAGAUGAAAAGGACUUUGAAAAGAGAGU
RNAcentral lists this ribosomal RNA (99 nucleotides) under Bacillus cereus. RNAcentral describes it as "partial 23S ribosomal RNA". It matches the Rfam family "Eukaryotic large subunit ribosomal RNA", at positions 290 to 388 of the family's 3401-position model. The record is from RNAcentral. Lineage: Bacteria; Bacillati; Bacillota; Bacilli; Caryophanales; Bacillaceae.